ACACAUGCANUCGAGCGAUGACUAUCUAGCUUGCUAGAUAUGAUUAGUGGCGAACGGGUGAGUAAUGCUUAGGAAUCUGCCUAUUAGUGGGGGAUAACCAUCCGAAAGGAUGGCUAAUACCGCAUACGUCUUACGAGAGAAAGGGGGCUUUUAGCUCUCGCUAAUAGAUGAGCCUAAGUCGGAUUAGCUAGUUGGCGGGGUAAAGGCCUACCAAGGCGACGAUCUGUAGCUGGUCUGAGAGGAUGAUCAGCCACACUGGGACUGAGACACGGCCCAGACUCCUACGGGAGGCAACAGUGGGGAAUAUUGGACAAUGGGCGAAAGCCUGAUCCAGCCAUGCCGCGUGUGAGAAGAACGCCUUUUGGUUGUAAAGCACUUUAAGUAGGGAGGAAAAGCUUGUGGUUAAUACCCACAAGCCCUGACGUUACCUACAGAAGAAGCACCGGCUAACUCUGUGCCAGCAGCCGCGGUAAUACAGAGGGUGCAAGCGUUAAUCGGAAUUACUGGGCGUAAAGCGAGCGUAGGUGGUCAUUUAAGUCAGAUGUGAAAGCCCCGGGCUUAACCUGGGAACUGCAUCUGAUACUGGGUGACUAGAGUACGUGAGAGGGAAGUAGAAUUCCAGGUGUAGCGGUGAAAUGCGUAGAGAUCUGGAGGAAUACCGAUGGCGAAGGCCGCUUCCUGGCAUCAUACUGACACUGACGUUCGAAAGCGUGGGUAGCAAACAGGAUUAGAUACCCUGGUAGUCCACGCCGUAAACGAUGUCUACCAGUCGUUGGGUCUUUUAAAGACUUAGUGACGCAGUUAACGCAAUAAGUAGACCGCCUGGGGAGUACGGACGCAAGGUUAAAACUCAAAUGAAUUGACGGGGGCCCGCACAAGCGGUGGAACAUGUGGUUUAAUUCGAUGCAACGCGAAGAACCUUACCUGGUCUUGACAUACUACGAAUCCUGCAGAGAUGCGGGAGUGCCUUCGGGAAUCUACAUACAGGUGCUGCAUGGCUGUCGUCAGCUCGUGUCGUGAGAUGUUGGGUUAAGUCCCGCAACGAGCGCAACCCUUUUCCUUAGUUACCAGCGACUCGGUCGGGAACUCUAAGGAUACUGCCAGUGACAAACUGGAGGAAGGCGGGGACAACAUCAAGUCAUCAUGGCCCUUACGACCAGGGCUACACACGUGCUACAAUGGUUGGUACAAAGGGUUGCUACACAGCGAUGUGAUGCUAAUCUCACAAAGCCAAUCGUACUCCGGAUUAGAGUCUGCAACUCGACUCUAUGAAGUCGGAAUCGCUAGUAAUCGCAGAUCACGAAUGCUGCGGUGAAUACGUUCUCGGGCCUUGUACACACCGCCCGUCACCCCAUGGGAGUUGAUCUCACCAGAAGUGGGAGCCAACCAAGAGGGCGCC
This 1399-nucleotide ribosomal RNA is filed under the name Moraxella bovoculi. Its description in RNAcentral is "16S ribosomal RNA". It matches the Rfam family "Bacterial small subunit ribosomal RNA". Lineage: Bacteria; Pseudomonadati; Pseudomonadota; Gammaproteobacteria; Moraxellales; Moraxellaceae. The record is from RNAcentral.